This 227-nucleotide long non-coding RNA is filed under the name Prunus persica (peach). Its description in RNAcentral is "long non-coding RNA (PPER_LNC004370)". Lineage: Eukaryota; Viridiplantae; Streptophyta; Magnoliopsida; Rosales; Rosaceae. The record is from RNAcentral.
GGGACAGAAGUUAGGAUGAUAGACUUCUCCACCCAUGUGAUAAUUGGGAGGCUUACCUCCACCAAAGGGUAGGUCCCGAAUAACACCACACUCAGGAACUUCUUCUUGUAAUCAACUCUGGCCAUUUCAUCUUCAGGCUCCUUCUCAAACAACCUAUAGCCAAGCUGGAACCAGGGAUAGCUUUAGCUUCUUCUGAGCACCACCUGUCACUGGGCAGUAGACCUCUU